UCUCUCUCAGGAUGGCACCUGGGGAGUUUCCAGUACUCUACCAGUCUCAGCUGCGGGAGGGAGAGUCAAGCAGAGGCCUAUCCAUUCCAUUCCUAGCUUGGGCAGUGGCUAGUGAGUGGAAGGCAACUGGCUACAAGU
Ornithorhynchus anatinus (platypus) is the source of this 138-nucleotide small nucleolar RNA. The record is from RefSeq and is a predicted model, not a curated record. NCBI's taxonomy places the organism in Eukaryota, Metazoa, Chordata, Mammalia, Monotremata, Ornithorhynchidae.